CUACGGGGUGCUGCAGUGGGGAAUAUUGCACAAUGGGCGCAAGCCUGAUGCAGCCAUGCCGCGUGUAUGAAGAAGGCCUUCGGGUUGUAAAGUACUUUCAGCGGGGAGGAAGGGAGUAAAGUUAAUACCUUUGCUCAUUGACGUUACCCGCAGAAGAAGCACCGGCUCAACUCCGUGCCAGCAGCCGCGGUAAUACGGAGGGUGCAAGCGUUAAUCGGAAUUACUGGGCGUAAAGCGCACGCAGGCGGUUUGUUAAGUCAGAUGUGAAAUCCCCGGGCUCAACCUGGGAACUGCAUCUGAUACUGGCAAGCUUGAGUCUCGUAGAGGGGGGUAGAAUUCCAGGUGUAGCGGUGAAAUGCGUAGAGAUCUGGAGGAAUACCGGUGGCGAAGGCGGCCCCCUGGACGAAGACUGACGCUCAGGUGCGAAAGCGUGGGGAGCAAACAGGAUUAGAUACCCGUGUAGUC
This 465-nucleotide ribosomal RNA is filed under the name uncultured bacterium. Its description in RNAcentral is "partial 16S ribosomal RNA". It matches the Rfam family "Bacterial small subunit ribosomal RNA", at positions 339 to 795 of the family's 1533-position model. The record is from RNAcentral.